GGUAUGGGAUGAGCUUGCGUCCGAUUAGCUAGUUGGCGGGGCAACGGCCCACCAAGGCGACGAUCGGUAGCCGGCCUGAGAGGGUGAUCGGCCACAUUGGGACUGAGAUACGGCCCAGACUCCUACGGGAGGCAGCAGUAGGGAAUAUUGCACAAUGGGGGAAACCCUGAUGCAGCAACGCCACGUGUGGGAAGAAGCAUUUCGGUGUGUAAACCACUGUCGUGAGGGAAUAAUACGCGGUUUCGGCCGCGGGGGAAUGUACCUCGAAAGGAAGCACCGGCAAACUUCGUGCCAGCAGCCGCGGUAAUACGAGGGGUGCAAGCGUUGUUCGGAAUCACUGGGCGUAAAGGGAGCGUAGGCGGAUGCUCAAGCGGAUUGUACAAUACCGGGGCCCAACCCCGGACCUGCAGUCCGAACUGGACAUCUUGGAUAGUUCAGGGGCAGGC
RNAcentral lists this ribosomal RNA (446 nucleotides) under uncultured bacterium. RNAcentral describes it as "bacterial SSU rRNA". It matches the Rfam family "Bacterial small subunit ribosomal RNA", at positions 217 to 662 of the family's 1533-position model. The record is from RNAcentral.